This 3113-nucleotide small RNA is filed under the name Pongo abelii (Sumatran orangutan). Its description in RNAcentral is "retained intron". Lineage: Eukaryota; Metazoa; Chordata; Mammalia; Primates; Hominidae. The record is from RNAcentral.
AGCUCAGCCAUGUGCUGUGCUGGGCGCCCACGGACCCACCCACGGGCCUCUCCUACUUCUCCAGCAUGUAUCCACCGCACCCUCUCACGGCGCAGUACGGGGUGAAAGUCCUGCGGUCGUUCCCUCCGGACGCCAUCCUCUUCUACAUCCCCCAGAUUGUGCAGGCCCUCAGAUGGGCUAUGUGCGGGAGUAUAUUCUGUGGGCAGCGUCUAAAUCCCAGCUUCUGGCGCACCAGUUCAUCUGGAACAUGAAGACUAACAUUUAUCUAGAUGAAGAGGGCCACCAGAAAGACCCUGACAUCGGCGACCUCCUGGAGCAGUUAGUAGAGGAGAUCACAGGCUCCUUGUCGGGCCCAGCGAAGGACUUUUACCAGCGGGAGUUUGAUUUCUUUAACAAGAUCACCAACGUGUCGGCUAUCAUCAAGCCCUACCCUAAAGGCGACGAGAGAAAGAAGGCUUGUCUGUCAGCCCUGUCUGAAGUGAAGGUGCAGCCGGGCUGCUACCUGCCCAGCAACCCCGAGGCCAUCGUGCUGGACAUCGACUACAAGUCUGGGACCCCGAUGCAGAGUGCUGCAAAAGCCCCAUAUCUGGCCAAGUUCAAGGUGAAGCGAUGUGGAGUUAGUGAACUUGAAAAAGAAGGUCUGCGGUGCUGCUCAGACUCCGAGGAUGAGUGCAGCACGCAGGAGGCUGACGGCCAGAAGAUCUCCUGGCAGGCAGCCAUCUUCAAAGUGGGAGAUGACUGCCGGCAGGACAUGCUGGCCCUGCAGAUCAUCGACCUCUUCAAGAACAUCUUCCAGCUGGUCGGCCUGGACCUCUUUGUUUUUCCCUACCGCGUGGUGGCCACUGCCCCUGGGUGCGGGGUGAUCGAGUGCAUCCCCGACUGCACCUCCCGGGACCAGCUGGGCCGCCAGACAGACUUCGGCAUGUACGACUACUUCACACGCCAGUACGGGGAUGAGUCCACCCUGGCCUUCCAGCAGCAUGGCCGCCUACAGCCUCCUGCUGUUCCUGCUGCAGAUCAAGGAUAGACACAAUGGCAACAUUAUGCUGGACAAGAAGGGCCAUAUCAUCCACAUCGGUCAGCCAGCCACAGCACCACCCUCCUCUCCCUUCACCCCUGGCACCCAGGGGUGGAUAGGGAUCCCCACCCCACAGAGAGGAGCAUGCCCAGGACCACCCUGCCAGGAGUGUCAGGGUCCAGCUCUGAGGUCCGAACUGUCAGCCACCAAGCUGUUCUGCUGUAGAGGGUGCCUGGCCCCGGCCCCAGGGAGCUGGGGCGAGAGCCGCCAUUGCUCUGAGUCAGAAGCUGGAGCUGGGCGGAGUGGGGCUCGUCCAGGUUCAGUGUCCCAGCUUGGCUCCUUCCUCCACUUCCUCCCUUCUCUUUCUCUGCCUGCUGCCCCACCACCCACCCCAUCACUGUCCCCAAGAAAACACAACCUGCCUGUUGGGGGUGGAGGGGAUGCUCCUGUUGCAGAGUCCUUUGCCACUCCUCAAAACAGACCACUUGUGCCUGCGCGCCCUGGCUCCUACCCAGUCACAGGCAGCUCUUUGGGGUUUUGCAGACUUUGGCUUCAUGUUUGAAAGCUCGCCGGGCGGCAAUCUCGGCUGGGAACCCGACAUCAAGCUGACGGAUGAGAUGGUGAUGAUCAUGGGGGGCAAGAUGGAGGCGACGCCCUUCAAGUGGUUCAUGGAGAUGUGUGUCCGAGGCUACCUGGCUGUGCGGUGAGCCUGGGUGAGGGCCAGGGUGGAGGCGGAGGGGGUGUGUGGAACGUUCUGAGGUCCCCUUUAGGAUGAAGGGAAUCCAGUUCCAGAGAGUGAGGUAGGUGCUAGCAGCUGCCUGCUGACCUACACCUAUCCUUUGGUCACCUCUGUCUGCCCACCUGUGCCAGUAAAUUCUUGCUCUGGGCAUCUAAUUCCAACCACCUUCCCCAGUAUCUUGCCCACGCCUUCAGCCAUGGGCUCUCCCUUUCUGGGCAUCCCAUCCACCCUGUCACCAAAGCCUGAGCACCUGCCACCCCACAGGCUACGUGCCAAAGAUGGGCUUUGUCCCAGUUUCAUAUACAGGUCACUUGGCCAAGGCCACAGUCCAACCUGGGUUCAUCCCCACUGCCCUGCAGAGAAAGGCAGAUCAGCGUGUCUGCAUCCCACCCAGGUGCAGAAGCCAUGGCCGGCAGCCUUACGUGGGGGAUAGGGCAGGACACUCAGCCUGUCCAGAGUGCGUGUGAGCAGCCCUUACCUGAGCGGUUCAGGUUACCGAGUACAGCAGAUCGAAAGUUGCCUCGGGGAUGUGCAAGAUGUGGCAGGCGAGGUGGGUGGCAGGAGCCCACACCUGAGGCUGUUGGCAUCAGCCAGGCCACAGGAGUACAGGCAGGGCCACCACCUAGGUUGGCCUCAGCCCACUGCUCCCUCCUCUCUCUCCCCAGGCCCUACAUGGACGCGGUCGUCUCCCUGGUCACUCUCAUGUUGGACACGGGCCUGCCCUGUUUUCGUGGCCAGACAAUCAAGCUCUUGAAGUACAUUUCCAGGGCGUGGCUCUCAGCUGAAGUCCGUCCCCAUGGAAGACCCUCCUCCCACUGGGCCAGGGAGCCAGCACGGCCCUGCCCAUGGCAGCCCUGACACAGCCUCUCCCCCAGGCACAGGUUUAGCCCCAACAUGACCGAGCGCGAGGCUGCAAAUUUCAUCAUGAAGGUCAUCCAGAGCUGCUUCCUCAGCAACAGGAGCCGGACCUACGACAUGAUCCAGUACUAUCAGAAUGACAUCCCCUACUGAGGAGGGGACCUCCGAGGCCCUCCGCCCCAUGUGCCCUCGAAGCUGCCCCACAAUCAUGGAGCCCUGUGACCUCCCCAUCCUGCCGCCACAUGCCAUGGAGAGGCCUGUGGCCCGAAGAGCCUGGUAGCGCCUCCUGGGGCAGCACGUGGGUGGCGCAGCCUUGGUAACGCCAUGGACUGCAGCGACAAUCAUUGGAUGGUGCUGUCUAUGCACGGGUGUGAGUCCUCUGUUUGCACUGGACAUAUUCCCUACCUGUCUUAUUUCAUAGGUACAUGAAGUAUUUUCUUGUGUAUAAAAAAAGAUAUAAGAUUUAACCAACAUCAACAAAAUAAAAACCCAAAAUAG